CGUAAGUGGCGAGCGUUAUCCGGAAUUACUGGGCGUAAAGCGUUCGUAGGCGGCGCGGUAAGUUGGGUUUGAAAGCCCGGGGCUCAACUCCGGACCCGGAUCCAAAACUACCGUGCUGGAGCAUAUCAGGGGGCAGCGGAAUUCCCGGUGUAGCGGUAAUAUGCGUAGAUAUCGGGAGGAACACCAGUGGCGAAGGCGGCUGCCUGGGGUAUUGCUGACGCUGAGGAACGAAGGCCAGGGGAGCGAACGGGAUUAGAUACCCCGGUAGUCCUGGCGGUAAACGAUGGGCACUAGGUGUCAGGGGCUUCGACCCCCUUGGCGCCGCCGCUAACGCAUUAAGUGCCCCGCCUGGGGAGUACGGCCGCAAGGUUG
RNAcentral lists this ribosomal RNA (372 nucleotides) under uncultured organism. RNAcentral describes it as "bacterial SSU rRNA". It matches the Rfam family "Bacterial small subunit ribosomal RNA", at positions 526 to 896 of the family's 1533-position model. The record is from RNAcentral.